CCCGAGACGGUCUUUUCAUUUCUCAGCAGUCCGGGAAGCAAGUAGUGAGUGGCGUGGCUGUGGAUUUUUCUUAAAUUCCUCAGUUUCUACCCAACUUCUUGAGAAAAUGAGAGCUAAGUGGAGGAAGAAGCGUAUGCGAAGGCUGAAGCGUAAGCGCAGAAAGAUGCGUGCGAGGUCCAAGUAAAUCUCCAUGAGAUUUUCUCUGUUCCAUGUGUUCCGGACAGGGGAUGACGAAUGGCAGAAGAUGACGUCGCCGAAGGGGAGACUUGUCACGAAAAAAAACUUGCUGAUGAAAAUAAAUCGAUAGUCUUCUAUCCGGACAUAAGAAAA
Phlebotomus papatasi is the source of this 330-nucleotide long non-coding RNA. RefSeq lists it as uncharacterized. NCBI's taxonomy places the organism in Eukaryota, Metazoa, Arthropoda, Insecta, Diptera, Psychodidae. The record is from RefSeq and is a predicted model, not a curated record. The transcript has 3 exons.